This 443-nucleotide ribosomal RNA is filed under the name uncultured bacterium. Its description in RNAcentral is "SSU rRNA". It matches the Rfam family "Bacterial small subunit ribosomal RNA", at positions 369 to 808 of the family's 1533-position model. The record is from RNAcentral.
UCAUGGGCGAGAGCCUGAAACCAGCCAAGUAGCGUGAAGGAUGACUGCCCUAUGGGUUGUAAACUUCUUUUAUAAAGGAAUAAAGUCGGGUAUGGAUACCCGUUUGCAUGUACUUUAUGAAUAAGGAUCGGCUAACUCCGUGCCAGCAGCCGCGGUAAUACGGAGGAUCCGAGCGUUAUCCGGAUUUAUUGGGUUUAAAGGGAGCGUAGAUGGAUGUUUAAGUCAGUUGUGAAAGUUUGCGGCUCAACCGUAAAAUUGCAGUUGAUACUGGAUAUCUUGAGUGCAGUUGAGGCAGGCGGAAUUCGUGGUGUAGCGGUGAAAUGCUUAGAUAUCACGAAGAACUCCGAUUGCGAAGGCAGCCUGCUAAGCUGCAACUGACAUUGAGGCUCGAAAGUGUGGGUAUCAAACAGGAUUAGAUACCCUGGUAGUCCAAGGGCGAAUUC